CCCCUCCCUGCGAAGCUCCCAGUCGCCAUCUGCGCCAAGUCCGCACUCGAUCUACAGUUCAUUGUUGGCUAGCUGAAGGUCCAGGUUUGCUAAAAAAAUUCAGUGCAUCUUUAUAUAUUGUUCAGUUCAUCUACUUGCCAAUCAUAAGUCCAAUUUCAGAUAUGAAUAAAGCUCAAACCAAGUUAAAAAAUUAUUUUCUUCAUAAAUGAGUUGUUUUUGGUUAAUUUCUUUUUAUGGACAGUACAAAUGCACACUAUUGUGUGGUGCAUCUGUUUAUUGUAAUUGUGGUUUGGUGUUCAGAAGAAGACAACAAAAAAGGUUCAUAAAAGAACCCAAAAACAGUCCGUAGUUUUGGAAGCCCAAAUUUCAGUUCAACAUGUCUUCUAUCAUCAGCUCAUUAAGAACCCCAGAAACGGUUCAAUGUGUGUGUGUUCAAAAAAUAACAAAAAUGGAGGUUCAGAGAUGGCACCGAGAGAAGUUGGAAAAAACGGUUUCAACAUAAUAAAAUAACUGCAAAAUGUUUUUGUAUUUGGGUUAUAAAAUAAUCGUCUCAGUUCAACGAGUUAAAAUCGUCUUAGGUCAAUUAGUUAAAUCAUCUCAGUUCUACUAUAUUUGUUGCGACAAGAAUGGUUCAAGAUUAGUUAAUCCUUCUUCCACUUCCUCCACAAGAAAAUGAGCUCUAAAGAUUCAGUAUUUCACCUUGCAUACAACUCAGAGAACUACCUCUACAGACCUGGCUAGUAGGAGCAUCGAAAAUAGGAUGCACAAAACAUCAGGAAAAGAUUUUUGCACCAUUGUAUCAACCCCAAGCCAGUCGGGAUAGUUGAGGAGUUGUGUCGUGGUCGCCUGGUAGUGUCCUUGUCACCGUCCGUCUUCAAGCUGGCCGCGAGGGCCAGCAAGAUGUUGCAUGCGCCGACGAAGAUUCCAUAUCUGACUAGCAGCUGGUCAGAUGCCCGUGUGUGUGCCUUAAUUCUUUCUCACUACUAGCACUUGGUUUACCAUCGGUAGGUAGUUUGUCUAAAGUUAUCUGGAUUGCACUGAUGUCCUGGUAGCCUAAAAAAUGCAUACUGUUAGCACUUGUGGUUUGCUUAUGUAUAUUAUGGGAAUUCUUUGGCUGCACUGCAACGCUCUGGCCAGGUGGCAGCAAACCAAACAGAGAGGGCAAGUGAGAGACGAAGCCUCCUCUGCCUAGGACAUCGGAGAGUCGAACCCCAACAGCCAUUUUCUUGGCAGGCUAGCACUCGCUUUGGCGGCAUGGAAGAUGAGUGUGCCCUGUAUGCGGUAAGUCCUGUAGGCUGCAACUAGAUUCCCAAUUUUCCAUGUAUGUAGAUUGGAUGUCAUAUGGUUAUCUAUCCUAAAUUUCCAUUGUUGCAUGUUGCGUUACCCCAUUCGGAUUCAGUUAUGAAGCAUGUUGCUGCAACACGAAAAUCACAAUUCAUAAGUUGAAUCCAAUUUUGUCUUCUUCCACUCUCUGGAUACAAAGUUGCAGAAAGGAUGUGAACAUAGUAUAUGCCCAUGUGUAAUCGUUCACUGUGUGUUUCAUCAUCAGUUCAAAAAUAAUAAUUUGCUUCGUGUCUGCUACUGAAAGUGACACAGUUCAGUCUACUUCCACCUGUAGUAUGCUACUAAUAGAUGAACAUUGCUUGCUUGUGUACAGAGGUGACUAAUUUCAACCACACUGCUUGUGUGCUGAUGUUGUUUGCUUGUGUACAUAUGAUUCAUUUUUUGUGGUAGUCCAAGUAUAAUUGUUUAAAAAGUACAAAUGUAUGUCUCCAUAAAAGAAAAGAAAAAAAUGUCAUGUAUUCAUGAAUUUGCUGCUGGUGUAGCAGCCCAGUAUGUAUUUUAUCAUCAGUUCAUAAAGGAAAGUUGAAUCAGUGCAGUGUUGUGUUAAAAAUAAUCAGUUUUAUAUUGUAUGGUAGUUCACUGUAUAGAAAAUUUGUAAUGGUUCGGCCAGAAUAAAGUUCGCAUAGUUCAUACUUGCGAGGCAGUAAUGUUAAAUUUGAGAAAACCAUCAGUUCAAAUAUAUAUGCAGGAGGUUGAGAGCAUAAUAAAAUGUAAAUUUUCUUUUGAUGCGUUUAAUUUUUCAAUAUCCAGUACAUUAGUUUAGUAGUUGGUACUAACUACUCUAGUUUUUUAUUUGAUGUACCUGUGGUGUAUAGUUUCUUCUGUCAGUUCAAUUUCUAAAUUUCAUACAGUUCAAUUCAUAUUGUAGCUCCAAUUUAGUCCACGUGGUUAAUUGUUGGAUGGUGUGUGUGCAGGGUACCGUGACAUUGAGUAGGCGCGAAGUGUAUCACUCCAGCACGCCAAAGCUCCAGUGCAUGUCAACGUCUUCUCCACUGCAAUGGAAGCUCCUCCGUUCGAGUUGAGCACUGGUCAUCAUCCAAGUUGAACACUAGGUGCUGUCCAAGUUCAAAGAGGGUUGUAUGCUAAGUUUGUUUUAGUGAGAAAAAUGCGGGGAUUUGACAAUAUUCUGUAUGAUUCAUUUAUUCAACCUUAGAACUUGGCGAUAUUCGGUCUAUUUUUCUAUGAUGAAGGCACACAUGAAGUCAUGUGCAAUGGUAUCCCCCUAGUGCUUCAAAGAUUCGUAUUUUGUUUCUUCAAAUGUGGUGUGCGCCUGUUUGAUGAGGUAAAACAAAGUAAAAUAGUGAAAAUGUUAUUAAAGACACUUGGAAGUACAAAUGUAGAAAAUAAAUAAGUUCUGAUUUUUGUCAGGUAGGAAAUUUGGAGAAGAAAACAUAAG
RNAcentral lists this long non-coding RNA (2740 nucleotides) under Triticum aestivum (bread wheat). RNAcentral's name for it is "long non-coding RNA (TAES_LNC004522)". Lineage: Eukaryota; Viridiplantae; Streptophyta; Magnoliopsida; Poales; Poaceae. The record is from RNAcentral.